UACGUCGGGUGCGAGCGUUGUCCGGAAUUACUGGGCGUAAAGAGCUCGUAGGUGGUUUGUCGCGUUGUUCGUGAAAACCGGGGGCUUAACCCUCGGCGUGCGGGCGAUACGGGCAGACUUGAGUACUGCAGGGGAGACUGGAAUUCCUGGUGUAGCGGUGGAAUGCGCAGAUAUCAGGAGGAACACCGGUGGCGAAGGCGGGUCUCUGGGCAGUAACUGACGCUGAGGAGCGAAAGCGUGGGGAGCGAACAGG
This 253-nucleotide ribosomal RNA is filed under the name uncultured bacterium. Its description in RNAcentral is "partial 16S ribosomal RNA". It matches the Rfam family "Bacterial small subunit ribosomal RNA", at positions 524 to 776 of the family's 1533-position model. The record is from RNAcentral.